GGAGAUAUUGCAUAGUCUGUUUGUGCGUUGGUUUGUGCAAUUAUGGUUUAAGGGUUAAAAUCCUGUUAUCCCC
Molecule: transfer RNA, 73 nt
Filed under: Gormaniella terricola
Lineage: Eukaryota; Viridiplantae; Chlorophyta; Chlorophyceae; Chaetopeltidales; Chaetopeltidaceae
Description: tRNA-Pro
Source: RNAcentral